Molecule: ribosomal RNA, 493 nt
Filed under: uncultured bacterium
Lineage: Bacteria
Description: partial 16S ribosomal RNA
Rfam family: Bacterial small subunit ribosomal RNA
Source: RNAcentral
GACGAACGCUGGCGGCGUGCUUAACACAUGCAAGUCGAACGGUGAAGCGCCUUCCUUUUUGGUGGGUGUGGAUGAGUGGCGAACGGGUGAGUAACACGUGAGUAACCUGCCCCCUUCUUCUGGAUAACCGCAUGAAAGUGUGGCUAAUACGGGAUAUUCUGGGUCUGUCGCAUGAUGGGUCUGGGAAAGAUAUUGUUUCGGUGGGGGAUGGGCUCGCGGCCUAUCAGCUUGUGGGUGGGGUGAUGGCCUACCAAGGCGGUGGCGGGUAGCCGGCCUGGGGGGGUGGACGGUCACACUGGGAGUGAGACACGGCCCAGAUGCGUAAGGGAGGAGGCGGUGAGGAAUAUUGAAGGAUGGGCGCAAGCCUGAUGCAGCGACGCCGCGUGAGGGAUGGAGGCCUUCGGGUUGUGAACCUCUUUCGCCAGUGAAGCAGGCCUGCCUCGUUUGUGGGUGGGUUGACGGUAGCUGGAUAAGAAGCGCCGGCUAACUACGU